UNUGAAGUUAAAGGCUGUGGCUUAACCAUAGUACGCUUUGGAAACUGUUUAACUUGAGUGCAGAAGGGGAGAGUGGAAUUCCAUGUGUAGCGGUGAAAUGCGUAGAUAUAUGGAGGAACACCGGUGGCGAAAGCGGCUCUCUGGUCUGUAACUGACGCUGAGGCUCGAAAGCGUGGGGAGCGAACAGGAUUAGAUACCCUGGUAGUCCACGCCGUAAACGAUGAGUGCUAGGUGUUAGGCCCUUUCCGGGGCUUAGUGCCGCAGCUAACGCAUUAAGCACUCCGCCUGGGGAGUACGACCGCAAGGUUGAAACUCAAAGGAAUUGACGGGGGCCCGCACAAGCGGUGGAGCAUGUGGUUUAAUUCGAAGCAACGCGAAGAACCUUACCAGGUCUUGACAUCCCGAUGCCCGCUCUAGAGAUAGAGUUUUACUUCGGUACAUCGGUGACAGGUGGUGCAUGGUUGUCGUCAGCUCGUGUCGUGAGAUGUUGGGUUAAGUCCCGCAACGAGCGCAACCCUUAUUGUUAGUUGCCAUCAUUCAGUUUGGCACUCUAGCGAGACUGCCGGUAAUAAACCGGAGGAAGGUGGGGAUGACGUCAAAUCAUCAUGCCCCUUAUGACCUGGGCUACACACGUGCUACAAUGGCUGGUACAACGAGUCGCAAGUCGGUGACGGCAAGCUAAUCUCUUAAAGCCAGUCUCAGUUCGGAUCGUAGGCUGCAACUCGCCUACAUGAAGUCGGAAUCGCUAGUAAUCGCGGAUCAGCACGCCGCGGUGAAUACGUUCCCGGGCCUUGUACACACCGCCCGUCACACCACGAGAGUUUGUAACACCCGAAGUCGGUGAGGUAACCUUUUAGGAGCCA
This 863-nucleotide ribosomal RNA is filed under the name uncultured bacterium. RNAcentral's name for it is "bacterial SSU rRNA". It matches the Rfam family "Bacterial small subunit ribosomal RNA", at positions 588 to 1451 of the family's 1533-position model. The record is from RNAcentral.